GUGUCAGCAGCCGCGGUAAUACGAAGGGGGCUAGCGUUGCUCGGAAUGACUGGGCGUAAAGGGCGCGUAGGCGGUUUGGUCAGUUAGACGUGAAAUUCCUGGGCUCAACCUGGGGACUGCGUUUAAUACGGCCGAGCUUGAGUAUGGAAGAGGGUCGUGGAAUUCCCAGUGUAGAGGUGAAAUUCGUAGAUAUUGGGAAGAACACCGGUGGCGAAGGCGGCGACCUGGUCCAUUACUGACGCUGAGGCGCGAAAGCGUGGGGAGCAAACAGGAUUAGAUACCCUGGUAGUCCACGCCGUAAACGAUGUGUGCUGGAUGUUGGGUGACCUAGUCACUCAGUGUCGUAGCUAACGCGGUAAGCACACCGCCUGGGGAGUACGGCCGCAAGGUUGAA
This 394-nucleotide ribosomal RNA is filed under the name uncultured bacterium. RNAcentral describes it as "bacterial SSU rRNA". It matches the Rfam family "Bacterial small subunit ribosomal RNA", at positions 505 to 898 of the family's 1533-position model. The record is from RNAcentral.